RNAcentral lists this ribosomal RNA (640 nucleotides) under Aquimarina sp. RNAcentral describes it as "bacterial SSU rRNA". It matches the Rfam family "Bacterial small subunit ribosomal RNA", at positions 66 to 703 of the family's 1533-position model. Lineage: Bacteria; Pseudomonadati; Bacteroidota; Flavobacteriia; Flavobacteriales; Flavobacteriaceae. The record is from RNAcentral.
GGUAACAGGGUUGCUUGCAACCGCUGACGACCGGCGCACGGGUGCGUAACGCGUAUAGAACCUACCUUUUACUGGAGAAUAGCCCAGAGAAAUUUGGAUUAAUGCUCCAUAGUAUUAUUUAGUGGCAUCACUUAGUAAUUAAAGAUUUAUUGGUAAAAGAUGGCUAUGCGUUCUAUUAGCUAGUUGGUAUGGUAACGGCAUACCAAGGCUACGAUAGAUAGGGGUCCUGAGAGGGAGAUCCCCCACACUGGUACUGAGACACGGACCAGACUCCUACGGGAGGCAGCAGUGAGGAAUAUUGGACAAUGGAGGCAACUCUGAUCCAGCCAUGCCGCGUGUAGGAAGACUGCCCUAUGGGUUGUAAACUACUUUUAUAGAGGAAGAAACCCCGGUAUGUAUACCGGUCUGACGGUACUCUACGAAUAAGGAUCGGCUAACUCCGUGCCAGCAGCCGCGGUAAUACGGAGGAUCCAAGCGUUAUCCGGAAUCAUUGGGUUUAAAGGGUCCGUAGGCGGGUCAGUAAGUCAGUGGUGAAAGUUUUCGGCUCAACCGGAAAAUUGCCAUUGAUACUGCUGGUCUUGAAUUAUUGUGAAGUGGUUAGAAUGUGUAGUGUAGCGGUGAAAUGCAUAGAUAUUACACA